RNAcentral lists this long non-coding RNA (1044 nucleotides) under Felis catus (domestic cat). RNAcentral's name for it is "lncRNA (ENSFCAG00000050243.1)". The record is from RNAcentral. Lineage: Eukaryota; Metazoa; Chordata; Mammalia; Carnivora; Felidae.
GCAUUUUAUUCAUUUGCUUUUGGGGACCUUUGACCCAAGCACUGUGUCCCAUCUGGUUUCCUAAAGUCAGGGGAGAACCAAAGAGCAGUGAAAAGAGUGUACAUCAUGAUCUCACCCUGAUGGUGUUUCUUUUCUCUACACUCAGGUCGUCGCAAGAGCGAUGCAAUAUGGUAGGUAUCUUGGAAUCACUCUCCUGCUGAUGAAAAUAUCUAUACGGUCAGGAACCUGAGGCAUUCCUGCUGGCAUCAGUCUGGAGAGCUACCCUGACUCUAGGUUCCUUGUAGGACUGAGGCUUUAGGGUGUGGAGAAAAGACAGAUUUCCCAGGGGAAAACUUAUGUCCAAGUUUACAGUGUGAGGAAGACAAUGUAUUCAGUGGUGUGUGUGUGUGUGUGUACGUACGCAGGUGUGUGUUUGAGAGAGGCAGAACCUGAGGGACAGAGAAAGAGACAGGGAAACUUACAAGAGAAUGAGACACAUCAUUCCUGAGAGAGAGAGAGAGAGAGAGAGAGAGAGAGAGAGAGAGAGAGAGAGAGAGAGAUGUGAGUUUUUCCCAGGUGAUAUGUGCCACUGACACUGCACAAUGGCCAAUGUUUACUAUUUAAAAAAAACUCUUCAUACUGCACACUUCAAGGAUUAUUGCUGAGGGUGGCUAAGUCCCAUUGAGUCCAUGCAGGUAACCAAAGCCUCCAUACUCUCUGGACCAUGUUCAUAUCAAGGAACAGUCCCUGAAGUAUUCCUGUGCAAUGCCAACAAUGUAGUCAGGUGUUUCCCUGUCUUUCUAGGUGUCUCAAAGGAGGAAAACCUGCGGUCUGUUGCAGUAAGGAGGCAAAAGACUGUUGCAGAGGUGGCCUUAGGAGCACGAGAAGAAGGUACGUAUUCUGGAAACAGUUUCUUGCUGAGGAAAACGUUUAGAUGUUGAUGUAGGUGGGGCAUUCUUGUUGUGUUCAAUCUGGAGAGCCACCCUGAUUCCAGAGACUUGGGACGUCUUAGGCCAAGUGUGGGGGGGUGUGACCGAAGUCCUAGGUGAAAAACUAUGUCCAUGU